AGGUCCUUGAGAUCCAGAGAAAUCCUAUUUUACUCGAGAUCAUAUUCAUACACUCCAGACAUACUGGGUCCCCAUCCUUUGGCUCUGUGUUUCUCCUACCCUCCUUUCCUGGCCUGGAGAACCUCUCAUCCUUGAGCCCAGCUCAGAGUGGUUUCAUCUGUGUGUCCUGGCCGCCCUGAGUGGACCUGCCUUUCUGAGUCUCCCCGCCGCCCUCGCCCUGUGGCAUCUGAGGGUGUCCUCUAGGGCCUGCACGACCUGGGGCGUUCGGGUCCAGACCCCGGGCCAUGGGUGGGCCAUCCAUGCUGCGCUGCACGCCUGGCCCCACAGCGGCUGUACCUUGAGGGUUAUGGGCAGCCAGGUGCGCCGGUUCUCGUCCACAUACACAGCCUUUUCCCACAUCCUCAGGUGGUCCGGAUGAAAGGGUGUGUCCGCCAUAAAGAACGGGCCCUCGGCCAUGGUGCCUCGAGGGGUCUGGAAGCAAGUGCAGGAGCCGCUCGAGGCUUCUCGCUGGUCCACGGGCUGCAGAACCUCGAUGCUUUAUAGUCGGAGGGCGCGCGGGCGCCCCCAAGAGGCACCAGCGCCCUCCGCCCCCCUGGAUGCCGGGACUCCACUGUGUGCGGCUCCUUGGAGCCACCCUGCAGACUGGGACUCUGAGCCUCUGCUUGGAACUCACAGCCGACGUUGGGCAACCCGGAGCCAGGGCCCCCUCCGCAUCUGGGAUCAGAAGAAAUGGGUGCAAGCCUGAAUGAGGCCUGGACUUUUCCCAGGUUCACGGCACCACUUUUACCCUGUGGAUUUGGGUAUCAGGGUCAAUUUCCUUGGUAAAUUGCAACUCUUGAAGCCCCUGUGCCCUUCCCCCACACAUUUUCCACUCUUUGAUGAUGCUGUGGUCAUCUAAUAGCUGUUGUGAAACCCGGUUGUGAAGAAACAUGGGUUUUUCCCUUUAUAGGCUUUGUAUUCAUUAGUGAAAACAUCGUUCGAAAUGCAGGCUUAAAAAGAAACCCCUCCCUCCAUCCCAAUAUCAGUGGAUUUGAGGAGUCCCUGUGUUAUAGGAUCACACUGUCUCCCAGUAAAUUGCAUCAACUGAGGAAAACAAUUUCACUUUAUUUUGCAGUACCACAUGCCCAUUAAAGCAAUUAGGAAAAUAAAAUACAAUGAAAAACAUGUAAAAG
Molecule: long non-coding RNA, 1172 nt
Filed under: Capra hircus (goat)
Lineage: Eukaryota; Metazoa; Chordata; Mammalia; Artiodactyla; Bovidae
Description: lncRNA (ENSCHIG00000005543.1)
Source: RNAcentral